RNAcentral lists this ribosomal RNA (468 nucleotides) under uncultured bacterium. RNAcentral's name for it is "partial 16S ribosomal RNA". It matches the Rfam family "Bacterial small subunit ribosomal RNA", at positions 28 to 507 of the family's 1533-position model. The record is from RNAcentral.
GACGAACGCUGGCGGCGUGCUUAACACAUGCAAGUCGAACGGAAAGGCCCUGCUCUUGUUGGGUGCUCGAGUGGCGAACGGGUGAGUAACACGUGAGUAACCUGCCCUUGACUUUGUGAUAACUUCAGGAAACUGUGGCUAAUACCGGAUAGGUGCUCCUGCUGCAUGGUGGGGGUUGGAAAGUUUCGGCGGUUGGGGAUGGACUCGCGGCUUAUCAGCUUGUUGGUGGGGUAGUGGCUUACCAAGGCUUUGACGGGUAGCCGGCCUGAGAGGGUGACCGGCGACAUGGGGACUGAGAGACGGACCAGACUGGUACGGGAGACAGCAGUGGGGAAUAUUGCACAAUGGGGGGAAGCCUGAUGAAGCAACGCCGCGUGCGGGAUGACGGCCUUCGGGUUGAAAACCGCUUUCGCCUGUGACGAAGCGGGAGUGACGGUAAUGGGUAAAGAAGCACCGGCUAACUACGUG